This 527-nucleotide ribosomal RNA is filed under the name Bifidobacterium longum subsp. infantis. Its description in RNAcentral is "bacterial SSU rRNA". It matches the Rfam family "Bacterial small subunit ribosomal RNA", at positions 158 to 700 of the family's 1533-position model. Lineage: Bacteria; Bacillati; Actinomycetota; Actinomycetes; Bifidobacteriales; Bifidobacteriaceae. The record is from RNAcentral.
GGGUGGUAAUGCCGGAUGCUCCAGUUGAUCGCAUGGUCUUCUGGGAAAGCUUUCGCGGUAUGGGAUGGGGUCGCGUCCUAUCAGCUUGACGGCGGGGUAACGGCCCACCGUGGCUUCGACGGGUAGCCGGCCUGAGAGGGCGACCGGCCACAUUGGGACUGAGAUACGGCCCAGACUCCUACGGGAGGCAGCAGUGGGGAAUAUUGCACAAUGGGCGCAAGCCUGAUGCAGCGACGCCGCGUGAGGGAUGGAGGCCUUCGGGUUGUAAACCUCUUUUAUCGGGGAGCAAGCGUGAGUGAGUUUACCCGUUGAAUAAGCACCGGCUAACUACGUGCCAGCAGCCGCGGUAAUACGUAGGGUGCAAGCGUUAUCCGGAAUUAUUGGGCGUAAAGGGCUCGUAGGCGGUUCGUCGCGUCCGGUGUGAAAGUCCAUCGCUUAACGGUGGAUCCGCGCCGGGUACGGGCGGGCUUGAGUGCGGUAGGGGAGACUGGAAUUCCCGGUGUAACGGUGGAAUGUGUAGAUAUCGG